RNAcentral lists this ribosomal RNA (403 nucleotides) under Gyrodinium helveticum. RNAcentral's name for it is "partial small subunit ribosomal RNA". It matches the Rfam family "Eukaryotic small subunit ribosomal RNA", at positions 30 to 432 of the family's 1831-position model. Lineage: Eukaryota; Dinophyceae; Gymnodiniales; Gymnodiniaceae. The record is from RNAcentral.
GCUUGUCUCAAAGAUUAAGCCAUGCAUGUCUCAGUAUAAGCUUCUAUACGGCGAAACUGCGAAUGGCUCAUUAAAACAGUUAUAGUUUAUUUGGUGGUCAACUCUUACAUGGAUAACCGUGGUAAUUCUAGAGCUAAUACAUGCGCCCAAACCCAACUUCUUGGAAGGGUUGUGUUUAUUAGAUACAGAACCAACCCAGGCUCCGCCUGGCCUUGAGGUGAUUCACAAUAACCGAACGAAUCGCAUAGCUGCCGCUGGCGAUAGACCAUUCAAGUUUCUGACCUAUCAGCUAUCGUCGGUAGGGUAUUGGCCUACCGUGGCAAUGACGGGUAACGGAGAAUUAGGGUUCGAUUCCGGAGAGGGAGCCUGAGAAACGGCUACCACAUCUAAGGAAGGCAGCAGG